GAUGAACGCUGGCGGCGUGCCUAAUACAUGCGAGUCGAGCGACCAGCCGAGGAGCUUGCUCCUCUGACGUUAGCGGCGGACGGGUGAGUAAACCGUGGAUAACCUACCUAUAAGCCUGGGAUAACUUCGGGAAACCGGAGCUAAUACCGGAUAAUAUAUUGAACCGCAUGGUUCAAUAGUGAAAGACGGUUUUGCUGUCACUUAUAGAUGGAUCCGCGCCGCAUUAGCUAGUUGGUAAGGUAACGGCUUCCCAAGGAGACGAUGCGUAGCCGACCUGAGAGGGUGAUCGGCCACACUGGAACUGAGACACGGUCCAGACUCCUACGGGAGGCAGCAGUAGGGAAUCUUCCGCAAUGGGCGAAAGCCUGACGGAGCAACGCCGCGUGAGUGAUGAAGGUCUUCGGAUCGUAAAACUCUGUUAUUAGGGAAGAACAAAUGUGUAAGUAACUAUGCACGUCUUGACGGUACCUAAUCAGAAAGCCACGGCUAACUACGUG
This 497-nucleotide ribosomal RNA is filed under the name uncultured bacterium. Its description in RNAcentral is "partial 16S ribosomal RNA". It matches the Rfam family "Bacterial small subunit ribosomal RNA", at positions 28 to 507 of the family's 1533-position model. The record is from RNAcentral.